RNAcentral lists this ribosomal RNA (588 nucleotides) under Hanseniaspora uvarum. Its description in RNAcentral is "partial large subunit ribosomal RNA". It matches the Rfam family "Eukaryotic large subunit ribosomal RNA", at positions 66 to 670 of the family's 3401-position model. The record is from RNAcentral. Lineage: Eukaryota; Fungi; Ascomycota; Saccharomycetes; Saccharomycodales; Saccharomycodaceae.
ACACUGGGUAUACUUAGUACGGCGAGUGAAGCGGUAAAAGCUCAAAUUUGAAAUCUGGUACUUUCAGUGCCCGAGUUGUAAUUUGUAGAAUUUGUCUUUGAUUAGGUCCUUGUCUAUGUUCCUUGGAACAGGACGUCAUAGAGGGUGAGAAUCCCGUUUGGCGAGGAUACCUUUUCUCUGUAAGACUUUUUCGAAGAGUCGAGUUGUUUGGGAAUGCAGCUCAAAGUGGGUGGUAAAUUCCAUCUAAAGCUAAAUAUUGGCGAGAGACCGAUAGCGAACAAGUACAGUGAUGGAAAGAUGAAAAGAACUUUGAAAAGAGAGUGAAAAAGUACGUGAAAUUGUUGAAAGGGAAGGGCAUUUGAUCAGACAUGGUGUUUUUUGCAUGCACUCGCCUCUCGUGGGCUUGGGCCUCUCAAAAAUUUCACUGGGCCAACAUCAAUUCUGGCAGCAGGAUAAAUCAUUAAGAAUGUAGCUACUUCGGUAGUGUUAUAGCUUUUUGGAAUACUGUUAGCCGGGAUUGAGGACUGCGCUUCGGCAAGGAUGUUGGCAUAAUGGUUAAAUGCCGCCCGUCUUGAACCACGGACCCAA